RNAcentral lists this ribosomal RNA (328 nucleotides) under uncultured eukaryote. Its description in RNAcentral is "partial 18S ribosomal RNA". It matches the Rfam family "Eukaryotic small subunit ribosomal RNA", at positions 1470 to 1796 of the family's 1831-position model. The record is from RNAcentral.
CCCUUAGAUGUCCUGGGCCGCACGCGCGUUACACUGAUGCAUUCAACGAGCUUAUAACCUUGGCCGAGAGGCCUGGGCAAUCUUGUUAACGUGCAUCGUGAUAGGGAUAGAUUAUUGAAAUUAUUAAUCUUGAACGAGGAAUUCCUAGUAAACGCAGAUCAUCAAUCUGCAUUGAUUACUGCCCUGCCCUUUGUACACACCGCCCGUCGCACCUACCGAUUGGAUGGUCCGGUGAAGCCUCGGGAUUGUGGUUCUUGCCGCUUUAUUGUAGCGUGACCGCGAGAACUUGUCUAAACCUUAUCAUCUAGAGGAAGGUGAAGUCGUAACA